Molecule: unclassified non-coding RNA, 195 nt
Filed under: plant metagenome
Description: partial contains small subunit ribosomal RNA, internal transcribed spacer 1, and 5.8S ribosomal RNA
Source: RNAcentral
UCUCCGUUGGUGAACCAGCGGAGGGAUCAUUACCGAGUUUACAACUCCCAAACCCCUGUGAACAUACCAUUUGUUGCCUCGGCGGUGCCUGCUUCGGCAGCCCGCCAGAGGACCCAAACCCUUGAUUUUAUACAGUAUCUUCUGAGUAAAUGAUUAAAUAAAUCAAAACUUUCAACAACGGGUCUCUUGGUUCUG